Patella vulgata (common limpet) is the source of this 773-nucleotide long non-coding RNA. RefSeq lists it as uncharacterized. NCBI's taxonomy places the organism in Eukaryota, Metazoa, Mollusca, Gastropoda, Patellidae. The record is from RefSeq and is a predicted model, not a curated record. The transcript is spliced from 4 exons.
AUAGAGGAAUAAUCAACCAGAAGUCUGUGUUCCAGACCACACUCUGACAGGUAUUUAGAGCACUAGGUCAAAUGGUUCCCAAGUCUCAUCAGAAUAGCACAGAUUAACCAGAUCUUGUUUUUAAAGACAUCAUCCUUCAACAUCUGACAUUUUAAUUACACAGCCAUCAAUUACAGGUCAUAUCCAAAUUACCUGUGAAAACAUAUCUGAUUCCCUAAACACAAGUAUUGUGUGGAUGUAAAUGAACAGAUUUUUAAUUGAUAUUUGGAUAGGACUGGUGAAUAUGCCGUCGGUUAAAGCUAUAUCCUAUCUGAAUAUGAAUAUGGUACAUAUAAGACUUACCCCAGUAUAAAGGUCAGUUUGCCAGCUAGCACAUUCAGGAUUAAAACAGACUUGAAUAAUUUUUUUAUCUUUGAUAUGACAUUCAUUCUCAGGUAGAUCUUUACCAGCUUCAUCAACACAUUUGGCUUGACGAUAUUGUUUACCUACACCACAACUAACAGAACACUGAAAUAGAUGAAUGAUCAUUUAGCUUGUUCAUUUACUAACCUGCAUAAAGUCUAGCAUAGGCCAGAGCUUGUGACUGGGUACAACUACGGUAGUUACAAGAAAUUUGAACGGAGGCAACUCACGGCAACCAGUAGUUGCUAGAAACAGGAGACCAUAAAGUAUAUGACCAAGAUGUUGGUAAACAUUCACCAUGACAUUCAACAUAAGCAUUGGGUUUGGCACCAAGGUGACGACAAUGUCGAUCAUCAAUAUCUGUAACUUCA